CUGGAGACAGGUGCUGCAUGGCUGUCGUCAGCUCGUGUCGUGAGAUGUUGGGUUAAGUCCCGCAACGAGCGCAACCCUUGCCUUUAGUUGCCAGCAGUUCGGCUGGGCACUCUAAAGGGACUGCCGGUGUUGAACCGGAGGAAGGUGGGGAUGACGUCAAGUCCUCAUGGCCUUUAUGACCAGGGCUACACACGUACUACAAUGGCCGAUACGAAGGGCAGCGACACUGCGAGGUGAAGCCAAUCCCGUAAAAUCGGUCUCAGUCCGGAUUGGAGUCUGCAACUCGACUCCAUGAAGUUGGAAUCGCUAGUAAUCGUGGAUCAGCAUGCCACGGUGAAUACGUUCCCGGGCCUU
This 354-nucleotide ribosomal RNA is filed under the name uncultured Desulfobulbus sp. RNAcentral describes it as "bacterial SSU rRNA". It matches the Rfam family "Bacterial small subunit ribosomal RNA", at positions 1028 to 1382 of the family's 1533-position model. The record is from RNAcentral. Lineage: Bacteria; Pseudomonadati; Thermodesulfobacteriota; Desulfobulbia; Desulfobulbales; Desulfobulbaceae.